AGGUGCUAAAGAGUCAUGCUUAGGCUGAAGAGCCCAAACUGAAAAAAGAGUUUAAGAUUAACCUAGUCGGACAGAGUCCCUUGAUCCGAACAGGCAAAGAAAAAGAAAUCAGCACGGGUUGCUGGACAAGAUACUUACAUGAUAACACCUUGUGAUUUCUCUGUCUAUGACACUACUGCUUCAAUAUUGGAUAUCGAAAGUCCAUGCAAAUUAUUGCAACG
RNAcentral lists this long non-coding RNA (221 nucleotides) under Elaeis guineensis (African oil palm). RNAcentral describes it as "long non-coding RNA (EGUI_LNC069390)". The record is from RNAcentral. Lineage: Eukaryota; Viridiplantae; Streptophyta; Magnoliopsida; Arecales; Arecaceae.